AACCGCAAAGGGCUCAGUAAACCAGUUUUAAUUUACUAGAGUUUUUACGUUUCGUACGUGGAUACCUGUGGUAAUUCUAGAGCUAAUACAUGCAAUUAAGUCCUGACCAGAAAUGGAAAGGACGCUUUUAUUAGAUCAAAACCAUUCGCCCGACUAGCUCGGGCGUUGUUUUGGUGAAUCUAGAUAACACUUAAGAUCGUACAGUCUUUGUACUGACGACAUCUCUUUCAAACGCCUGACUUAUCAGCUGUCGAUGGUAGACUUUGUGUCUACCAUGGCCCUCACGGGUAACGGGGAAUCAGGGUUCGAUUCCGGAGAGGGAGCCUGAGAAACGGCUACCACAUCCAAGGAAGGCAGCAGGCACGCAAAUUACCCACUCCCGGCACGGGGAGGUAGUGACAAAAAAUAACGAUACGGGACUCUAUUGAGGCCCCGUAAUCGGAAUGAGUACACUUUAAAUCCUUUAACAAGGAUCCAUUGGAGGGCAAGUCUGGUGCCAGCAGCCGCGGUAAUUCCAGCUCCAAUAGCGUAUAUUAAAGUUGUUGCGUUUAAAAAGCUCGUAGUUGGUUCUGCGUGCCGCGCUGUCGGUUCGCCGCCUGUCGGUGUAACUGGCAUGUCGCGGCAUGUCCUGUCGGUGGUAAACGGGGUCCCCGGCGCUACUAGCGGCUUUACAGCUGCUACGUUUGUGCCGUGCGUGUCCUCGUUUGCCGAUCUCCCUACUCCGGUGCUCUUAAACGAGUGUCGAGGUAGGCCGACACGUUCACUUUGAACAAAUUAGAGUGCUUAAAGCAGGCUGAAAUAUCUGCCUGAAUAGUGGUGCAUGGAAUGAUAAAAUAGGACCUUGGUUCUAUUUUGUUGGUUUUAGGAAUAUGAGGUAAUGAUCAAUGUGGACAGGCGGGGGCAUUCGUAUUGCGACGUUAGAGGUGAAAUUCUUGGAUCGUCGCAAGACGCACUAGAGCG
RNAcentral lists this ribosomal RNA (960 nucleotides) under Eugubinus sp. RNAcentral's name for it is "SSU rRNA". It matches the Rfam family "Eukaryotic small subunit ribosomal RNA", at positions 85 to 947 of the family's 1831-position model. The record is from RNAcentral. Lineage: Eukaryota; Metazoa; Arthropoda; Insecta; Hemiptera; Reduviidae.